AUGGGAGGUCUUGGCAAGACUGCACUUGCAAAGAUGUUAUACAAUGACCAAGAGGUCCAACAACAUUUCCAGUUGAAGAUGUGGCACUGUGUGUCGGACAAUUUUGAUAUAAUUGCUGUUGUGAAAUCCAUCAUUGAAUUGGCUACAAAUGGAAGAUGCGACCUGCCUGACAGCAUCGAACUAUUGCAGAAGAAACUUGGCGAAGUCAUUGGCCAGAAGAGGUUUUUUCUUGUUCUUGAUGAUGUAUGGAAUGAAGAAAAGAAGUUGUGGGAGGAUGAACUGAAGCCACUGUUGUGUUCUGUUGGUAGACCAGGAAGUGUCAUUGUGGUCACAUGUCGAAGCAAGCAAGUGGACUCUAUAAUGUGCACUGUUAAUCCCCAUGAGCUAGCAUUUAUGAGUGAAGAAGAUUCAUGGAAACUAUUUUCAAACAAAGCAUUUAGCAAUGGUGCACAGGAGCAAACAGAGUUAGUCACAAUCGAAAAACGUAUUGUCAACAAAUGCGGGGGGCUGCCUGUUGCUCUGAAGACAAUGGGUGGUUUGCUAAGUUCAAAGCAACAGGUACAUGAAUGGAAGACCAUUGAAGAAACUAACAUUGGGGAUAAUGUUGGAGGCAAAUAUGAGGUCAUGCCCAUACUGAAGUUAAGCUACAAAUACCUGUCAUCAAGAGGGCCCUGGCUCUGCGGUUCCGCUUCCUCGAGGAGCAGGUCAAGGUGUCGCUGA
This 720-nucleotide ribosomal RNA is filed under the name Triticum aestivum (bread wheat). Its description in RNAcentral is "partial small subunit ribosomal RNA". Lineage: Eukaryota; Viridiplantae; Streptophyta; Magnoliopsida; Poales; Poaceae. The record is from RNAcentral.